UGCGACACUAGGAUGGAGCAGGUUGAGGUCACGCUCGUCGGGUGUAGCUCUUAUCGUGCCCGAAGGUCGUUGGUUCAAAUCCAGCUCCCGCAACCA
RNAcentral lists this transfer RNA (96 nucleotides) under Vibrio navarrensis. RNAcentral describes it as "tRNA-OTHER". Lineage: Bacteria; Pseudomonadati; Pseudomonadota; Gammaproteobacteria; Vibrionales; Vibrionaceae. The record is from RNAcentral.